UGGGUCCGAAAAUUCGACAUCGUGAAUAUCGUUUGCUUCGACGCGUGGCAGGCUGGUAGGUGAGUUCCGCCGGAGCCAUUUACGGGCGCAGCACACCGCGAGCGGAGAGUCCGAGGAGCCCGUUUUGUGCAGUCUGGAUGUUCUGGUCGCCCAGAACAUGGUUCCGGGCGCCCAGAAACGCCCGUUUCUGCAGGGACACUGGAUAGCAGCUGUUUCUCUUGGGCUUAUCUUAUCCCUCCAGCACCCUAUAAAUACCUGGUAUACGUCCCUAUUGAGCUCUUUUACCUGUUCUUCACAGAGGACUUAGAUUUUACAUCCCUAAUCCCUCCAAUCUUUCCAAUUUGCAUCAAGAUCCACCUCUCCAAGAAUUGCAAGGUGCUGAUUCUGCAGUUCUUCAGCGACGACCUCCAGUGUUUUGGCUCGUGCGCGACGUAGGAAGGUCGGAUUUCGACGAAACUUGGUUUGCUGGAUUCUAGACUUCCAGAGGAAUCCACGAAGCCCUGAAUUGCAGAUUUUGGUUGAGGUUAGCUUGGUCGAACUGAGGUUUUUCUGGACUGCUGUUGGCUUUGAGCUGAAAAUUGGAUUUUUGAGCUUUUCUUGAUGCUAACUUUGUAGGCAGUGGGAUUUUAGUCCUGAGAUUGAUCACCCCUCAGUAUUUGCUGGAUUUGGAACUGUCCUCACCUGAUUUGGAGAUCAUUAGGUGAGUUUUGACAUUGGAGUUGAGAUGAAUUAGCUUAAGUGCUGAAAUUUUGGUUAAUUGAUGGUUUUGUUGGAUUUUUGGGUGAAUUGUAAUGUCCAGAUCUUGAGGGGCUUUGUUGCUGGUUUGGAGGUAUUUCCAGCAGUGUUGCUUGUGAUCCGAGACCCUUUUGCUGCCAGGAAUUGCACUAGAGGUGGGUUAUCAUCGGUUUCGCUCCUAAGUGCAUGUUUAGUCGACGUGUAUAGUUCGGUUCUUGUAUAUCAUUCUUUAAUUCAUCGAUUAGCAUCUUGAAUGUAAUAUGAAUGUAGAAGCAUGCUGAAAUGAAUAUUUAUAUUAUACAUGUUGAACUUGAAAUUUGACUUAGGAGAAAACCUGCGUUUUGACCCGUCAUAUGCUUAAACUACCAGAUUUAGCUCUAGGAGCCGUGGUUCGAUUGUAUCGUUGCAGUAUCAGUGCGAUGGAUACCUGGGGUAGUUUAAAAGGCAUUUACGCUCGUGCUGGGGUGCCGAGCUUAUUUUUUUAGCAGAGUUUAGGCUGUUUCGGGUCGUUGGGUGCCGUUCGGGUUAGCGGUGGACCCAGAUUCUUGUUUUGGUCACAGAUUGUGCCGAGGGCACGUGGGUUUGGUUUGUAGACCUGUUUUGACCUUGUUCACUUGACUUUGGCUAGUUGGAGCCUGAAUGAGCUCGACAGAGAUACGCUGCAUACUCGGUUGGGUAGCGCCCACGAGUGCCACUUCGGAGACGGGCUUUGUGCUUUCCCGUUGGUGUCGCUCAUGCCGGUUAGACUUGCUCUCCACGGACCAGUUAGUGUGGAUGGAGCUGGAUAGUCGAAACUGGGCAGGGACGGGUGUAUUCACAGUCCCAGGGACGGGUAGGCUUACAGUCCCGAUUGGAUUGGGUCAGAUUUGACAUUUCCUACAGUUGGUUAGUGUAGAGCUUGAUAGUGUAGUGAUCGAUAGCGGUAGAGUUUACUUUCUGCUUUUCUGACUAUUCUUGUUCCCUUCUGUAGACUUAGUGGGUGGACCGAUGUUGUUUUGGGUGGUACCCACUGAGGACUACUUGUUUUUACAGUAGUUCUCACGCCUAGUUGUUACUCCUGUUUUGC
Molecule: long non-coding RNA, 1801 nt
Filed under: Ananas comosus (pineapple)
Lineage: Eukaryota; Viridiplantae; Streptophyta; Magnoliopsida; Poales; Bromeliaceae
Description: long non-coding RNA (ACOM_LNC012156)
Source: RNAcentral